This is a long non-coding RNA of Rhineura floridana, 298 nucleotides long. RefSeq lists it as uncharacterized. The record is from RefSeq and is a predicted model, not a curated record. Lineage: Eukaryota; Metazoa; Chordata; Lepidosauria; Squamata; Rhineuridae. The transcript has 3 exons.
CAGAGGGAGAGGGAGAGGCAUAGUAGCACCAGGAGCCAUCACAAUCUGCUGGAUAUCACAAGUGGGAGGAGAGAGACCUUCUUCCCUCUCUCCAUUUCCCAACUGCUCCACAAGAGGAACUUCAAAGCUAAAUGAAUCAGCGACAAUCAAUGAGGAGAUAACAAGCAGACCUCAGUCAGCUCUCUUACUGUGAUGGCUGCCACAAGUUUUAUGAUGAAGGAGACCAGAAGCGAAGAACUAUCACUGCUGGUUUGCAUCUCCAGCUUACGGAAAUUUGAAUAAGUUGUAUGUUGACCCA